RNAcentral lists this unclassified non-coding RNA (249 nucleotides) under Hevea brasiliensis (rubber tree). Lineage: Eukaryota; Viridiplantae; Streptophyta; Magnoliopsida; Malpighiales; Euphorbiaceae. The record is from RNAcentral.
GUUGACUGUUGCAAUCGGAACUGAAAAUCUCAAUUCUCAUGUGUUUCCAAGGCCAUUGAUUAUUGAGUAUCCUGAAAAACAAUUGAGGGAUGAGUUGAAGUGUACGACUUGGAGGUUUGUUGUUGAAACGAAUAAUUUAAGUCCAUGGAAGACGAUUCCAGAGGAAUGUGCUGAUUAUGUCAAGGAAUAUAUGGUGGGUCCAGGUUAUGAGAUGGAGAUUGAUAGGGUUUCGGAUGAGGCGGGAGAAUA